GUCCACGCCGUAAACGAUGUCUACUAGCCGUUGGGAGCCUUGAGCUCUUAGUGGCGCAGCUAACGCACUAAGUAGACCGCCUGGGGAGUACGGUCGCAAGAUUAAAACUCAAAUGAAUUGACGGGGCCCGCACAAGCGGUGGAGCAUGUGGUUUAAUUCGACGCAACGCGAAGAACCUUACCAGGUCUUGACAUCUAGAGAGCUUUCCAGAGAUGGAUUGGUGCCUUCGGGAACUCUAAGACAGGUGCUGCAUGGCUGUCGU
This 262-nucleotide ribosomal RNA is filed under the name uncultured bacterium. RNAcentral describes it as "partial 16S ribosomal RNA". It matches the Rfam family "Bacterial small subunit ribosomal RNA", at positions 793 to 1055 of the family's 1533-position model. The record is from RNAcentral.